RNAcentral lists this ribosomal RNA (445 nucleotides) under Photobacterium sp. CFS1.7. Its description in RNAcentral is "bacterial SSU rRNA". It matches the Rfam family "Bacterial small subunit ribosomal RNA", at positions 25 to 451 of the family's 1533-position model. Lineage: Bacteria; Pseudomonadati; Pseudomonadota; Gammaproteobacteria; Vibrionales; Vibrionaceae. The record is from RNAcentral.
CAGAUUGAACGCUGGCGGCAGGCCUAACACAUGCAAGUCGAGCGGUAACAGAAAUAAAGCUUGCUUUCUUUGCUGACGAGCGGCGGACGGGUGAGUAAUGCCUGGGAAUAUACCCUGAUGUGGGGGAUAACUAUUGGAAACGAUAGCUAAUACCGCAUAAUCUCUUGUCUUUUACGAGAUGGGAGCAAAGAGGGGGACCUUCGGGCCUCUCGCGUCAGGAUUAGCCCAGGUGGGAUUAGCUAGUUGGUGGGGUAAUGGCUCACCAAGGCGACGAUCCCUAGCUGGUCUGAGAGGAUGAUCAGCCACACUGGAACUGAGACACGGUCCAGACUCCUACGGGAGGCAGCAGUGGGGAAUAUUGCACAAUGGGGGAAACCCUGAUGCAGCCAUGCCGCGUGUAUGAAGAAGGCCUUCGGGUUGUAAAGUACUUUCAGUGUGAGGAAGG